Molecule: ribosomal RNA, 516 nt
Filed under: Klebsiella pneumoniae
Lineage: Bacteria; Pseudomonadati; Pseudomonadota; Gammaproteobacteria; Enterobacterales; Enterobacteriaceae
Also listed under: 1 other name
Description: partial 23S ribosomal RNA
Rfam family: Bacterial large subunit ribosomal RNA
Source: RNAcentral
GGAAAGUCCGACGGUACAGGGUGAUAGUCCCGUACACCAAAAUGCACAGGCUGUGAACUCGAAGAGUAGGGCGGGACACGUGGUAUCCUGUCUGAAUAUGGGGGGACCAUCCUCCAAGGCUAAAUACUCCUGACUGACCGAUAGUGAACCAGUACCGUGAGGGAAAGGCGAAAAGAACCCCGGCGAGGGGAGUGAAAAAGAACCUGAAACCGUGUACGUACAAGCAGUGGGAGCACCUUCGGGUGUGACUGCGUACCUUUUGUAUAAUGGGUCAGCGACUUAUAUUCUGUAGCAAGGUUAACCGUAUAGGGGAGCCGCAGGGAAACCGAGUCUUAACUGGGCGUUAAGUUGCAGGGUAUAGACCCGAAACCCGGUGAUCUAGCCAUGGGCAGGUUGAAGGUUGGGUAACACUAACUGGAGGACCGAACCGACUAAUGUUGAAAAAUUAGCGGAUGACUUGUGGCUGGGGGUGAAAGGCCAAUCAAACCGGGAGAUAGCUGGUUCUCCCCGAAAGCU